AAUGAACGCUGGUGGCAUGCCUAACACAUGCAAGUCGAACGAGACGCCGACUUCGGUCAGCUGACAGUGGCGCACGGGUGAGUAUAAGAUAGGUAUCUGCCUUACACUGGGGGAUAACAUUCAGAAAUGAAUGCUAAUACCGCAUACGCCAUAUUGGGAAAGCUCCGGCGGUGUAAGAUGAGCCUAUCCAGGAUUAGCUGGUUGGUGAGGUAAAAGCUCACCAAGGCAACGAUCCUUAGCGGGUUUGAGAGGAUGAUCCGCCACACUGGAACUGAGACACGGUCCAG
RNAcentral lists this ribosomal RNA (287 nucleotides) under uncultured bacterium. Its description in RNAcentral is "partial 16S ribosomal RNA". It matches the Rfam family "Bacterial small subunit ribosomal RNA", at positions 29 to 334 of the family's 1533-position model. The record is from RNAcentral.